AACGAACGCUGGCGGCGUGCCUAACACAUGCAAGUCGAACGAGACCUCCGGGCCUAUGUGCGCACGGGGGGUUGACGCGUGGGAACCUACACUUGGGUUCCGUAUAACUCCCCGAGGGGGGUGCUCAUGCCACAUAAUGUCUUCGGACCAACGAUUUUUCGCCUUUGGGUGGGCCCGCGUUGGAUUCGCUAGUUGGUAGUGUAAAAGCCUACCAAGGAGACGAUGCAUAGCUGGUCGGAGAGGAUGAUCAGCCAGACUGGGACUGAGACACGGCCCAGACUCGGACGGGAGGCAGGAGUAGGGAAUAUUGGAGACUGGGGGAAAGCCUGGUAAAGCAAUGCGGCGUGAGUGAGGAAUGCCGUAGGGUUGCAAAGUUCUUUUAGCCGGGAUGAUAGUGACAGUAACGGGUGAAUAAGCUCCGGCUAACUACGUG
Molecule: ribosomal RNA, 433 nt
Filed under: uncultured bacterium
Lineage: Bacteria
Description: partial 16S ribosomal RNA
Rfam family: Bacterial small subunit ribosomal RNA
Source: RNAcentral